Molecule: ribosomal RNA, 280 nt
Filed under: uncultured prokaryote
Description: partial 16S ribosomal RNA
Rfam family: Bacterial small subunit ribosomal RNA
Source: RNAcentral
UACGUAGGUGGCGAGCGUUAUCCGGAUUUACUGGGUGUAAAGGGCGUGUAGGCGGUACAAUAAGUCAGAUGUGAAAUCCCUGGGCUUAACCCAGGAAGUGCAUUUGAAACUGUUCAGCUUGAGUAAGGAAGAGGGAAGUGGAAUUCCUGGUGUAGAGGUGAAAUGCGUAGAUAUUAGGAGGAAUACCAGUGGCGAAGGCGACUUUCUGGACUUAUACUGACGCUGAGGAACGAAAGCGUGGGGAGGCAAACAGGAUUAGAUACCCCGGUAGGUCCCUGAG